UCGGUGUAAAAUAGAGGCAGGGUGGGGUGGGGGGCCUGAACAGAGGAUCGGCAGGGGUGUAGGGUAUCUCGAGCCCAGUGUGAACAGCUGAGAGGUGUGAUUUCACAGGCUGGCUCCCCCCUGUCAGAGCGCUGAUUGGGCCGGACAGGAGGCGCAGGAGAGGCCCGGGCUUCUAAAGGACACCAACAGGUGGGAGGCCGCAUUGGAGGGGGCCGCUCCUGGAGCCAUAGAAAAGGCCGAUCUGCAAGGCCUGCUGUGGGCACAAUCCACUGACCAGAUACAGAGGAGGAUGGGUGAUCACAGGAGAGCUGAGGGUGAAGCCGGGGAGUGGUUCUCAGAAAGCAGAGGGUUAGUUUCAUGAGCUUGGCUUUAAAGGGUGGAUAAAAGGCAGAGGACAACUUCAGGGAUGAGGAGUAAGGUUGGUCAGAGUUUUGUCUGUUUUUGAAUCACUCUUGUGAUUUCUCCUUCUAAAACUUUAGUUCACAGCGCAGGAAGAGACACAUGUCAGGCAACAAAAUCUUCGGGUUGCUGUGCUUGUGUGGUUUCAGCUUAACUGCAGCACAAUACGAGUAAAAAUCUGGUAUCAAACCAGCUUUCUCUCACUUUUACUGAAGACACAGCACAACAUGGCAGCCACUUGUGUCAGGUGAGGGGAAGCUGAGGUGUGAUGCAGGAAAGAAUCAGGAAAUCUGGUGCCUCUCAGAGGAGUCAUCCUAGUCUAAUUACAGUAGACGAGACAGACUUUCUGGUGGCCAUUUGGUUCAGAAGUGUUUAGAUUUAUCGAGGAAGUCACCACUUGUGAAGGAGAGGCGGACCGUGGCCUUCAUCUUAACCCCAUUUACUCACCGUGAGAAAACCACAAGAGGAGGCGCAAGGAGACCAGAGGAAGGAUCACUUGACACAACUGUCGGCAUCACGUUGACUUGGCAUGGCACGAUGUUUGGGAAAUAAAAAAAGGACGAUGACCUUUGUUUGAUGGGAGUCGGUAUUUGCCUCACCCGCCUGAGUUAUUUAAACUCAUUUCAGCAUCAUCACACUGGCAUUACCCAUCAAGUAUCUCCCAGUAUGACCAGUCCAGUCAUCUGUAAGACUGAAGAGGACUCAGCAGCCCUGACUGCCUGCAGAUGAUGUCCAUCUCCUACUGUAUUUCAUCUUUCUCGUGUCCCUCUUUUUCCGUGACCUUUACCCCUGUAACCUUUCCUCUUGACUGCCCCUCCCCUCCUGCUCUCCCUCUUGCUCUGCCUCUUGCAGCUGAAGCAACACGCCUUGCUGUGGCUGGUCAAACGGAACCAAGUCAGGUGUUUCUGUGAGGUUUGGUCCCCUUCAACCAGCUACUGCGCCGUGAAUUCAGUCAGCACACACCGGCUGGGAGUCAAACACGCAGUGACGUUGUGGUGUAGCGCUGCUUAAUCUGGAGAUGGUGAAUAGAAUAGAUUAUACAGCACAGAUGCAACGUGAAUCUUCUUUAGGAGCUCUAUAUUGAUUGUUCAUGGUAAUAUGUGACUAGAAACCAAAUAAAAGAUCACUGAUGAUGUACA
Long non-coding RNA from Oreochromis niloticus (Nile tilapia), 1538 nucleotides. RefSeq lists it as uncharacterized. The record is from RefSeq and is a predicted model, not a curated record. NCBI's taxonomy places the organism in Eukaryota, Metazoa, Chordata, Actinopteri, Cichliformes, Cichlidae. The transcript has 3 exons.